AAAUAAGAAGCAAAUAAUUGCAUUUAAUUUCGACUUAAAAUUUAGAGUUAAUUAAAAACUCCUUAUUUA
This 69-nucleotide transfer RNA is filed under the name Ambulyx substrigilis. Its description in RNAcentral is "tRNA-Arg". The record is from RNAcentral. Lineage: Eukaryota; Metazoa; Arthropoda; Insecta; Lepidoptera; Sphingidae.